UUUUAUCAGAGAGUUUGAUCCUGGCUCAGGAUGAACGCUGGCGGCGUGCUUAACACAUGCAAGUCGAACGGGAAUUACUUUAUUGAAACUUCGGUCGAUAUGAUUUAAUUCUAGUGGCGGACGGGUGAGUAACGCGUGGGUAACCUGCCUUGUACAGGGGGAUAACAGUCAGAAAUGACUGCUAAUACCGCAUAAGCGCACAGAGCUGCAUGGCUCGGUGUGAAAAACUCCGGUGGUAUAAGAUGGACCCGCGUUGGAUUAGCUAGUUGGUGAGGUAACGGCCCACCAAGGC
This 292-nucleotide ribosomal RNA is filed under the name Blautia massiliensis (ex Durand et al. 2017). RNAcentral's name for it is "partial 16S ribosomal RNA". It matches the Rfam family "Bacterial small subunit ribosomal RNA", at positions 1 to 274 of the family's 1533-position model. The record is from RNAcentral. Lineage: Bacteria; Bacillati; Bacillota; Clostridia; Lachnospirales; Lachnospiraceae.